ACGGGUGAGUAACACGUAUGUGAUCUACCCCAGAGACGGGGAUAACGGGCGGAAACGCUCGCUAAUACCGGAUGACCUUACCGAGUCAAAUUGGUAAGGAAAGGCUCCGGCGCUCUGGGAGGAGCCUGCGGCCCAUCAGCUAGUUGGCGGGAUAAAGGCCCACCAAGGCGAAGACGGGUAGGGGGUGUGAGAGCAUGGCCCCCCACAAUGGGACUGAAACACGGCCCAUACUCCUACGGGAGGCAGCAGCAGGGAAUAUUGCACAAUGGACGGAAGUCUGAUGCAGCGACGCCGCGUGGAUGAUGAAGGCCCUCGGGUUGUAAAAUCCUUCACAAGGGGACGAGGAAGGACGGUACCCUUGGAACAAAGUGUCGGCUAACUACGUGCCAGCAGCCGCGGUAAGACGUAGGACACAAGCGUUAUCCGGAUUUACUGGGCGUAAAGCGUCUGCAGGCGGACAGGUAAGUUGGGCGUGAAAGCUCCGGGGCUCAACCCCGGAGAGGUCGUUCAAUACUGCGUGUCUAGAGGGUGUCAGAGGGGAGUGGAAUUUCCGGAGUAGCGGUAAAAUGCGCAGAUAUCGGAAAGAACACCAAUGGCGAAGGCAGCUCCCUGGGGCAUACCUUGACGCUAAGAGACGAAAGCUAGGGGAGCGAACAGGAUUAGAGACCCUGGUAGUCCUAGCCCUAAACGAUGGAUGCUGGAUGUGGGG
Molecule: ribosomal RNA, 709 nt
Filed under: uncultured organism
Description: bacterial SSU rRNA
Rfam family: Bacterial small subunit ribosomal RNA
Source: RNAcentral